Molecule: long non-coding RNA, 4488 nt
Filed under: Vigna radiata
Lineage: Eukaryota; Viridiplantae; Streptophyta; Magnoliopsida; Fabales; Fabaceae
Description: long non-coding RNA (VRAD_LNC001662)
Source: RNAcentral
UGUUUUUAUUCUAUAGUUGUCACAACAAAAGUUGGAAACGAUUGUCUUUCAGUGAAAAUAACACUGAAAGUUUUUCUUGCUACUGGAUGCUUUGGGUUCUAUUUUACCAAAGAAGGUUCUUUUACAAGUACCAAGCUUCGUAUCAAAUUGGUAAGAUGUCUCCAAUUGUAUAUUGUUUUUUAAUAGGUUCAAUGGCUUCUUUUCUCCUCAGUUUGGUUGAAAUGUGUCAAAUUCAUUCCUUUUUAGAAAAAUAUCAAUUUUAAAAUUUGUGUCAAUCAAUUCAUCUCCGUUAAAAAUUAUCGUUUUCAAAACUCAUUUUAUCCACUGCAAAAUCAGGGAUCGGAUCCAUGAAGUGGUUAUUAUUCAAAACUCACUUUAAGUUUUUAACACCAUUAGUUUGUUUUUAACAUAGAUGACUUAAUUGACACAAAUUUUUUAUAUGAGGACGAAAUUGACAUUUUUCUAAAAAGAAAACGAAUUUGACACACUUCAAUCAAACUGGAGACAAAAAAAAGCAAUUAAACUUUUUUUAAUAUUAGUAUAUAAAUCUUAUGAAAAGUUAAAAGUCAGCAAGUUUUAUAAUUGAAAUUGUGUGGUAUUAAGAAUAUAUACGCAUAUUGUUAGAAAGUAGUAUUCGCCGAAUUCAAUUAACUUAAUAUAUUCCCCACCCUUUGUUUGGUUGACAUGCAUCUUUUGUCUUUUGUUAUUUAUUGGUGGGACGGUUUGAUAGGAUUGGAAGAAUGCGAAGAAAACAAGAUAAAAAUUUUAAAUCCAACAACGUUAUUCACUAGUUAUUUUUUUAACAGGAAAAACUUACCUUGAUGAGUUUGAUUAUAAGAUGGAGGUAUAAUAGUUACUCUUAAAUAUAGAAUUAUGGAUUAUUGUCACAUAUCUUACAUAAAGAAAGAGUAAAAUUAUGAUGGUACCUCUUUUAUUCCUAUGAAUAAAAGUAUAUUGUGCUACAAUUAGAAUGGAAAUUAUGAAAGAAUAAAUAAGGUUGGUGUGUUAUAUUUAAGAUGAAAUAGAAAGGUCGUGUGAAAUUUAAUAUGUGGAAGAUAAUGUUCUUUAUAAAUGAAAGAAAUAUCAUAUUCAAACAGUGUGUUACAAUUAAAUUGAAGCAAUUGAAUGUAUUUUGAGAUUUCAAUGUCAACAACAUGAUUUUGAAGAAUUGGAUAUCGAAUGGGUUUGAAAAUAAUGAUUUAAAAAAGGAAAUCACAAAUGAGGAGAAAACGUUUAAAAAUCAUAAUUUAAAGGAAGACAUUAAAGAUAAAAGUAUUAAAAAUAAUGAUUUUGAACAAGACAUCGAAGAGAGUAAAUUUUAUAAAUUCAAGACGAGGGAUUUGACGAUGAUAGAAGUCUUUAUUUUGUAACACCUUACUAUUAUAUAUAAAUCAUUAUUAUUUGAUAAAAAUAAUAGACUUAUUUAUUUUUUUCAUAAUGAGAUUUUUUAAAAAGAAAAAUUAUAAUAAUAUAACUCCAUAUAUAAUUCUUGGUUUCAAGUAUUAUUAGCAUUUUUGGUCUUCUAGUCAAUCCUAACCAAUUUAAACAUUAUAAAUCACUUUUGGUUCAUAUAGUCAAUCCUGACUAGUCAGAUAAGUAUUAUAAACACUCAUGUUUCACUUAGUCAUUCCUGACUAGUCAGAAUAUUAUAAACUACUCCUAAUUUACCUAGUCAAUUCUGACUAGUCCAAGUAUUAUAAACCACUUCCAGUUCUCCUAUACUAGUCCAAUUAUUCUUACACCACUUUUAGUUUACAAGUGUUUGAUUAAGUGAUGAUAAUAACUCUCAUUAAGAGAAUAUUUAAUCAAAGCAAUAUAUUCCCGAAUUCUUGUAAUUACCCUCUUUCUCUCUUUUUCUCUUUUUGGAUGAAAGCAUUAGACGAUGUAAGAGCAAAACACUUGGUUUCUGUUGACUCUCUAGUUUUCUCUUCUCUUCUUUGAACACUUGCGUUUAAACGCUAUAAGCACAAAAACAAUCUUGUGAGAUGAUAGUUGGAUACUAAGUUGAUUUUAAGAUAGACUUCAUAGUUUUUUUCGGUAGCUUGGUCAAACUCAGGUCUACGUUGUCUAGUAGCAUAGUUUUUUCGCGUAAAUAGCUUGUACGAUCUUCCUGGGCAAGAAGCUUUGAUAAAACAUUCUAAGAAUGCCUUCUUAUCUCUCAACGUCUUUUUGACCUUUGUGUAGAGCUUCUAAGGUAAGCUAGGCGUUGUCAUUUCCUAAACAGAUAAAGAAAGGAAAGUAUGCAAGCACAAAAGCACUUUUUCAUGCAACAUUAGAUGUUUUAUCCGUUGAUGAUCGUACAACACAUUAUGUGUUCAGAGUAUAUUUGCAUAUGUCAACAUCAUUUAAUUAAUGCAUCAUUUAUUAUCAAGUUGAGUUAGAUGAUGUAGAAGAUAUAUUCUUUAGACACUUAUCUUAUAAGAGUGCUUUUGUAAACUUGUGUCUUUGUUUGAGCAAGGUUAGCACUUAGAUGCUUUAUCAUUAGGUCAUACAUAUCCUAUUUAGUUCAGACACUAUAUAGCAUAAAUACUCUGUCAUAAGUUUUAUAUUGUUUAGCGUAAGCCUAGGCUAGCAUAUUAUUUAAUGGGAUGAUUAUUGUUUAUCCUGAUAUGCUAUGUUCUUGUGAUAUGUGAUAUAUAUAUUUUUCAAUAAUAUUUAGUGCCUCUUUUUAGUCAUCACACAUGGUUUAAUUUGAUAAAUGCUUGACGCAAGUAGCUUGAAUGUAAAUGUAUAAGCGUAGAAUUUGUUUGUAUAUCUUGAUUGCAUCAGACACUAUCUAUGUUCUUGUGAUGUGUAAUAUAUAUAUAUAUAUAUAUAUAUAUAUAUAUAUAUAUAUAUAUAUAUUUUUUUUUUUUUUUUUUUUUUCAAUAACGUUUAGUGCCUCUUUUUAGUUAUCACACUAAUUUACUCAUACGCUUGGUGACGCAAGUAGCUUGAGUGUACAUGCAUAAACGUNNNNNNNNNNNNNNNNNNNNNNNNNNNNNNNNNNNNNUAUAUAUAUAUAUAUAUAUAUAUAUAUAUAUAUAUAUUUUUUUUUUUUUUUUGUUUUUCAAUAACGUUUAGUGCCUCUUUUUAGUUAUCACACUAAUUUACUCAUACGCUUGGUGACGCAAGUAGCUUGAGUGUACAUGCAUAAACGUGUAGCAUUUGUAUAUAUAUCUUUAUUACAUCAUAUACUAUCUAUUUGGUCAAAAUUAUUCUAAUAUUCAUUAUGUAUAUUUUGUCCUAGUGUUUCGGAUAAACGAUUUUAUGUCAAUUAUUUGUCUUUUUUUAGUAUAUCCAAUGAUUAGACAAUUCUUCUUAUAAAUUUUGUUAAGUAUUAUUUGAUAAAUUUUAAAAUAUGGAUUAUUAGACAAUCUAAUUUUUCUUAAACCAUUUUGUUUCAACCGAUUUUGAUUCUGUUAUUAUUCAUAAUCAAUAUAUUUUUUGCAAUAACUCAUGUGGCUUUGAUACUAAUUAUAGUACUGAUCAUUCUAAUAUUGUUACUCAACCUUUACGCAGAACAAUCAGGAUUACUACUCCUAUGAUUAUCAUUGUUACGUUACUAAUGUUUCUUUUUCUCUUUAUCCUAUAUAAAAAGAUGUAACUGUUCCAAGAUUUCAAAACAGCACACUCACAUAUGCCAAAUUUCAGAGAAUUUGAGCCACAGACAUGAUUAUUCCCUUUUUACAGUUGAUGUUAAUUUUGUUUCUCUUCUUGUUUAUGUUAAUGAUAUUAUCAUUGUUGGUGCUAUAAUAUAAAUAUUAUUAAUCAUGUUAAGAAUGAUGUUCAAAACAGUUUCAACUUAAGAGAUCUUAGGUACUUAAAUUUUAUCCUUUGCCUUGGGUUUUCAAAAUCCAAAACUGGCAUUUUCAUGUGUCAAACAUCAUUACAUUUUAUCUUUUCUUGAAUAUUGUAGCAUGCUUACUUGUAAACCAUCAUCUAUUCCCAUGCUCCUUAAUCUUAAUUUGUGUAGUGAUUCAUGUACUCUUCUUGCUGACCCUGGUAUAUACAAAUGUCUUAUAGGACAACUAUUGUAUUUAACCAUUUGUCAUUCUGAUAUAUGUUAUUAUGUUCAUAAGUUAAGCCAAUAUAUAGCUAACCCUCAAUCUGCUCACAUGGAGGUUGCCACUAUUUUUCUUUGAUAUCUUAAGCACACUACUAGUCAAGGUGUAUUAAUUCAAAGCUGUAUUUUUUGUAUUUUCUUUGGGAAUUUAUGAAUCUCAUGGAAAGCAAAACGUCAAAAGAUUGUUAAAAAAUCCUAUAUAGAAGCUGAGUAUAGAGCUUUAGCUUCUGUUUCCACUUGGAUUAUUUGGUUAAGAAAUCUACUAACUAAUUUUCAUAUCCAUAAUUCUUUUGCAGUAGCUUAUUGUGACAAUAAGGCUACUAUACAAAUUGCCAACAAUCCUCACACCACGAAAGAACAAAGCCCUUUGAGAUUGAUCUUCAUUUCAUCAUAAAACAAGUUGAAAAAGGAGUUCUUAGACUUAUUCAUGUUCAAAAACACCA